Non-coding RNA from Pelobates cultripes (western spadefoot toad), 225 nucleotides. The record is from the annotation of a GenBank genome assembly. Lineage: Eukaryota; Metazoa; Chordata; Amphibia; Anura; Pelobatidae.
CUCAACAUAAAUGUAAUUAGAAAAACUGGCCACUACCUUGAGUGUCGCUCCCUCUAUUCUCACACAAUGCACUGGCAGUGUUUAGUGUGUGUGUGUGGUGUGCAUUGGUUGUGUCUGAGGUUUGGAGGUUUGUUACCUGGGGGUGGAUAAGGGUGCUUUGUGGUUUCUGUUUUGGCCCUCCAAUGGUCCCUGCACAUUGGAGCAGCAUGUGUACUUUGUUUUUAG